Molecule: ribosomal RNA, 2178 nt
Filed under: Triticum aestivum (bread wheat)
Lineage: Eukaryota; Viridiplantae; Streptophyta; Magnoliopsida; Poales; Poaceae
Description: partial small subunit ribosomal RNA
Source: RNAcentral
AUGGACAUCUACAACGUGGAGGCCGCCGAGAUCCUCGCCCACGAGACCCUCAAUCUCCCCAUCGGCGAGGCCGCCCCCAUCUACGAGAAGCUGCUCGCCACCUUCCCGACAGCGGCUAAGUACUGGAAGCAGUAUGUGGAAUCAUACAUUGUCACGAACGACGAGGAGACCGCCAAGCAGAUAUUCAGCAGAUGCUUGCUCACCUGCCCUCAUAUUAAUCUCUGGCGUUGUUACAUCAACUUUAUUAAAAAAGUAAACAGCAAAAGGGGCUCUGAGGGUCUGGAAGAGACAAAAAAGGCUUUUGAUUUCAUGCUUAACUAUGUCGGCAAUGAUGUGGCAUCUGGCCCCGUUUGGAUGGAGUACAUUGCAUUCUUGAAGUCAAUGCCGGUUAUGACGCCCCAGGAAGAGUCACACCGCAUGACUACUAUACGUAAAGUAUAUCAGAAGGCAAUUUUAGUUCCAACUAGUCAUGUCGAGCAGCUAUGGAAGGAUUAUGAUAACUUCGAAAAUUCAGUUAGCCGCACCUUGGCAAAAGGCUUGCUAUCUGAGUAUCAACCGAAGUUUAACAGUGCUAAGGCUGUAUAUAGAGAGCGUAAGAAGUAUAUCGAUGAUAUUGAUUGGGGCAUGCUGGCCACCCCCUCUACAGGCUCCUACAAGGAAGAGCAACAGUGUUUGGCAUGGAAAAGACUUCUGACAUUCGAGAAGGGGAAUCCUCAAAGAAUUGAUGUUACAGCUGCUAAUAGGCGUAUUACCUUUACUUAUGAGCAAUGCCUAAUGUAUCUAUACCAUCAUCCUGAUGUAUGGUAUGAUUAUGCUACAUGGCAUGCAAAGAAUGGUUCUACGGAUUCUGCAAUCAAAAUAUUUCAGCGUGCUGUAAAAGCACUCCCUGGUUCUGAAGUACUAAAAUACGCCUUUGCUGAACUGGAAGAGUCUGUAGGGGCGAUUCAGCCUGCUAAGACAAUAUACGAGUCUCUUGUAGCUGAAAAUGCAAGCAUGUCAUCACUUGCACACAUUCAGUUUAUUCGGUUUCUAAGGAGAACAGAAGGCAUUGAAGCAGCUCGCAAGUACUUUUUGGAAGUUCGGAAGUUGCCAAGCUGCACUUAUCAUGUCUAUGUUGCAUAUGCUACAAUGUCGUUUUGCCUCGACAAAGAUGCGAAGGUGGCUCAAAAUGUUUUUGAAGUUGGUUUAAAGCGAUUUAUGCAAGAACCAGGAUAUGUCCUCGAAUAUGCAGACUUCCUGUGUCGCUUAAACGACGAUAGAAAUGUACGUGCAUUGUUUGAGCGAGCUCUGAGCUUACUUCCUCCCGAGGAAUCCGUAGAGGUAUGGAAACGAUUUGCUCAAUUUGAGCAGAUUUAUGGGGAUUUGUCAAGCAUGUUAAAGGUGGAACAAAGAAGGAAGGAAGCUUUAUCUAGGACAUCAGAAGAUGUCGUAUCGUCCUUAGAGAACACACUUUAUGACGUUGUUUCUAGAUAUAAUUAUAUGGAUCUCUGGCCAUGCUCAUCAAAAGAAUUGGAUUAUCUGUCAAGACAGGAGUGGCUUGCAAAGAACAUGUGUAAGAAGGCUGACAGGUCAGUUAUGCUAACUAGUGGUGGCGGUUCUACCUUAGAUAAAGGCACUGUUGGAGUUGGUGCCAAUGCAAAGUUAUUGCCGCAGUCUACAAAAGUUGUCCGCCCUGAGACUUCUCGAAUGGUUAUUUAUGAUCCUAGACAGAUGAAAGGACCAGUGAUUUCAGCCACAUCCAGUGGGUACACAAAGGAGGUUGACGAAAUAUUCAAAAUGCUUUCUCCACCACUCAUGUCUUUCAUCACAAAUUUGCCUGCUAUUGAAGGUCCAUCACCAGAUAUAGACAUUGUGCUUAGCGUUCUACUGCAAAGCACACUGCCAACAGGACAUGAUGUUGGCAAACCGUCUGCUCCAGUUCCUGGCCCUGCCACAAGUGAUAUCUCGGGUCCCCGCAACCAAAAUGGAUCAGUUCGUAGACCUCCAAAAAGGAAGGCUGUUGAAAGGCAAGAGGAAGAAGACGCAGCAGCAGCUGCGCAGAGUCGAGCCAUGCCAGAUAUAUUCAGGCUCAGGCAGAUCCAGAGGAGCCGCGGUGGGGGCCCUGCUCAGUCUGGAUCGGCGGCGAUGUCCAGUGGAAGCAUGUUUUCCGGGGAACAAUCAGCCAACAGUUCAAGCUAG